AUGAAGACCUUACUCAUCCUGACGAUCCUUGCGAUGGCAAUAACCAUCAGCACCGCCAAUAUGCAGGUCGACCCUAGUGGCCAAGUACAAUGGCCACAACAACAACUAGUCCCCCAACCCCAACAGCCAUUAUCCCAGCAACCGCAACAAGCAUUUCCCCAACCCCAACAAACAUUUCCCCAUCAACCACAACAACAAGUUCCCCAGCCUCAGCAACCACAACAACCAUUUCUCCAGCCCCAACAAGCAUUCCCCCAACAACCACAACAACCAUUCCCUCAGACUCAACAACCACAACAACCAUUUCCCCAGCAACCACAACAACCAUUUCCCCAGCAAUCACAACAACCAUUCCCCCAGACUCAACAACCACAACAACCAUUUCCCCAGCAACCACAACAACCAUUCCCCCAGACUCAACAACCACAACAACCAUUUCCCCAGUUCCAGCAACCACACCAACCUUUUCCCCAGCCCCAACAACAAUUCCCGCAGCCCCAACAACCGCAACAAUCAUUCCCCCAGCAACAACGACCGUUCAUUCAGCCAUCUCUACAACAACGUUUGAACCCAUGCAAGAAUAUCCUCUUGCAACAAUGCAAACCUGCGUCAUUGGUGUCAUCCCUCUGGUCGAUAAUCUGGCCACAAAGCGAUUGCCAAGUGAUGCAGCAACAAUGCUGCCAAGAACUAGCACAGAUUCCUCAGCAGCUCCAGUGCGCAGCCAUCCAUAGCGUCGUGCAUUCCAUCAUCGUGCAGCAGCAGCAACAACAACAACAACAACAACAACAACAACAAGGCAUGCAUAUCCUGCUGCCACUAUCUCAACAACAACAGUUGGGUCAAGGUACUCUCGUCCAAGGCCAGGGCAUCAUCCAACCUCAGCAACUAGCUCAAUUGGAGGCGAUCAGGUCAUUGGUGUUGCAAACUCUUCCAACCAUGUGCAACGUGUAUGUCCCACCUGAGUGCUCCAUCAUCAGGGCACCAUUUGCCAGCAUCAGGGCAUCAUCAGGGCACCAUUUGCCAGCAUAGUCGCGGGGAUUGGUGGCCAAUGA
Molecule: ribosomal RNA, 1052 nt
Filed under: Triticum aestivum (bread wheat)
Lineage: Eukaryota; Viridiplantae; Streptophyta; Magnoliopsida; Poales; Poaceae
Description: partial small subunit ribosomal RNA
Source: RNAcentral